RNAcentral lists this long non-coding RNA (11389 nucleotides) under Nicotiana tabacum (common tobacco). RNAcentral's name for it is "long non-coding RNA (NTAB_LNC013253)". Lineage: Eukaryota; Viridiplantae; Streptophyta; Magnoliopsida; Solanales; Solanaceae. The record is from RNAcentral.
UUUCCAUCUGCGGCCACAGAUUGUGAAGGAAAGUUUAUCAGAGGCCAAGUUCAAAGUACUGUCCGCAUAUGAAUUGUGAGCCUGCAGAAGUUAAGAAAGAUCAGAAGUUCAGAGAGUUCCCAUUUCAUGCUCAAAGGAAGUGUGCAUCGCAUAAUUAUUGUGCAGCCGCAAUAGUCAACUACAUGGCCGCACUCGGAAAUGUAUGGUCUGCAGAAGAGCCCUAUGCGGCCGCACCCAGAAAUGUGCAGACCGCAGAACAUGAGAGAUGUGGCCGCAAGAAUUUUGUGGCCGCAGAACCUCCGAAAGGGCAUUUUUGUCCGAAAAAAUCCAUCCUCGUAUAAAUAGAAUAGUUUCACGAAAUUAGGUCAAGUUUUGAAUAUUCAGAGUGUUGUAGCCGUUUCUUCUUGCUUCUUUAGGAAACUUUAGCUUAUUUUGGUGAUUUAACAUUGGAUUUUUAUAUUUUAAUCUUUCAAUAUGAGUUUAAUUAUGUUUUCAUCUUUGUUUUCUUUUAUACUCACUAUGAGUAGCUAGAUUUUUACUUAGGUUGUGACCCAAUCCUAUCACACCUCCUUUUUACCCAAAAGGGGGUAUAAGUGAGUUUUUCCAAUUUAAGUGACAUUUUUCGAAAUGGCAUUUUUUAUUUAUUUUCAAAGUCUCCACUUGGGACAUUUAUGGCGUCCCAAGUCACCGAUUUAUUUUGAAUCCCAAAUCGAGAAAAUUGACUCUUAUAUAUGGUCCACGAAUACAGUAGACCGGGUAAGGAAUUCUGUUAACCCGGGAGAAGGUGUGAGGCACUCCCGAGUUUCGUGGUUUUAGCACGGUCGCUCAACUAUUAUUAAUUGGCUUAAGUAUCUGAUUUACUACAUAUUUAAAACCUAUUGUGCAUGUUUUAACUUUUAAUAGCUUUUAGUAUUUAUGGAGUUAUUUCUGGAACAAAUCACGAUUGUCGUACACUUGUCGUUUUGGUAUACAUCGCGAAUUGCGUCACAUGAAAUGCACCCGCGACUUACAACAUGUUAAUUUUAUUAUUAUUCUGUAACGAUCCGGCCGGUCAUUUUGAGCAUUUGCAUUUUGCUCAUCGGUUCUCGGGCAUGACUAGCCUUGUAUAAUAUAUUAUGACUUAUGUAAAUCAUCGGUUUUGAUUUUUAGGUGGAACAAAACAUAUAUGGAAGAAUGGUUCUCAGCUUAAGGCUUAAAAUUUGAGAGGAUAGACCAAGUCUUUGACUUUUAGUAUUCGAUCUUGGAUUUGAAUUUUUAUGAUUGGAUUAGCUCCGUUGGAUGAUUUCGGACUUAGGAGCGUGUUCAGAACGUAAUUUGGAGGCCCGUGGUAGAUUUAGGCUUGAAUUGGCAAAAUUGGAAUUUUUGCGCUUUCCAGUUGGUAGUGGAAAUCUUGAUAUCGGGGUCAGAAUCGAAUUUCAGAAAUUUGAGUAGGUCUAUAGUGUCAUUUGUGAUGUGUGUGCAAAAUUUCAGGUCAUUUGGAUUUGAAUUGAUAGGUUUCGAUAUCGUUUGGGGAAUUUGAAAGUUCAUAAGUUCUUAAGCUUGAAUCCGAAGUUGAUUUUGUAUUUUUGUGUUGUUUUUAGUGAUUCGAAGGCUCGACUAUGUUUUAAUGAUGUUAUGGGAGGUGUUGGUAUGUUUGGCUUGAGGUCCCGAGGGCCUCGAGUGAGUUUUGAGAGUUCGGGCAUUAUCGGGACUCAGGCAUUGGUUCUGGUUCUUAAAUUUACAGCUAGGGUGGAAGGUUUACCGCUGGGGGUGGUGGUUUUACUUUUGGGGCGGAAAAUGGUCCGCGAUCCGCCAUAAGGGGCCCCUUUCGGAGUUUGUACAUUCCUAGUGAGCGCGGGUACCUAGUGUGAGUGAUAUGUUGUAACUUGAGGGGCUGUUGUUGUUUCAUAUUGAAGCUCGAGGGGCUCUUGUUGAUCCAUGUUUUCUCAAGGGGAGGUUCUUGAUUCAUGUUAUGCCCGAGGGGCUAAUUACGAGUGAUAGUGAGGUAGCCCGAGGGGCUGGUUCUAUUGAUAUUAUGCCCGAAGGGCGGUUCAUGGUACAUGUUUUGUCUGAGAGGCCAUUUAUGUUUUCCUUCAUUUUUACUCACUAUUUUAUCACUCAUUUAAAACUAUUGAAAGUUGUUUUAAAAGGUUUUACCGAAAUUGAGCUUGAUUUACGAAGUAAAUGAUUUUUUUACUAUUUUGGAAAGGUAUUGUAUUUGCUAUAGUGUUAUGACGUGGCUUACGUGUUUUCUUACUGCUCAGCUUUCAUUUACUUUUAUUACUUACUGAGUUGGCAUACUCACAUUACUCGCUGCACCUUGUGUGCAGAUUCAGGUAUUUUUGAACCCGGUAGCGGGUGUUGAUUGCUCAGUGGCAGAGUCAUUGGAGUUAGCAAGGUAGCUGCUGGAUGUUCGCAACCCUGUUUUUCUCCUCUUGUAUCCCUUAGGUUGUUUUUAGUAUAUUUUCAGACCUUAAUAGAUGCUCGUGACCUGUGACACCCCGAUGUCGGGCUUGUGUAUUUAUUACUAUUCAUUUAGACUUACAUUAUGAGAUAUCUGAUUGAUUAAAGGCUUAAAAUGAUUGUUAUUGAUUAAAUGGUUAAUUUGGGAGUUGUGUUGGCUGGCCUAGUUUCACGAUAGGCACCAUCACAACCGAGUAAUUUUUAGGGUCGUGACAAGUUUGUAUCAGAGCCUAGGUUACAUAGGUCUCCUGAGUCAUGAGCAGGUUUAGUAGAGUCUCGCGGAUCGGUAUGAAGACGAUUGUACUUAUCCUCGGGAGGCUGCAGAACCUUUAGGAAAAACUUCACAUUCUUGAAUUCUUAUCGUGCAUCCUUGAUUCAGCUUGAAAUGUAACUCCUUUAAUUCCUUCCACGCCUUCGUAUGCGCGCAUGAACGCUCAGUAUCAGAUGUGCAUCGAUGUCUUGUGAUUCCUUGAUCAUGGGGCGAGAUGUGAUCUCUGUGUGUUGAUAUUGGGCCAGUCUCGAGGACUUGAGACUGGGUUUUACCUGUAGCUUGAGCACUAAGGUGCUGAUUGUGUGAGCACAUGCUUUUUGAAUUUAUGUGUUCGAUAGUGUCCCUAUUAGUGGAAGUGAUGGCUGGAUGACUAUGUGAUGAGUAUGAUGUGACUGUGAGGUGUGUUUAUAUGAUUUGAAUGAGGCGAGAAGGGUCUACUUGGGGGCAUAAAGAACUAUUUGGUGCUUGAUUUCCAUCUUGAUUUGAUGUAUAGCCCCGAGUUAUCGGAGUGUGAAGAAUCAUUUCAUGUUUUCUAGUUGGGGAGUGGAGUAGAUUUCGUGUUACGAUAUGAGUUCAGACUCAAGAAGCUUAAGCGACUGCGUAAUGUUUAUGACGAUGGAAGGGGUAUGAAGAGCUAUUAGUUUGAGGCAAAGCAGGUGGGUUAUCUCCUGUAGAGUGUUCUGAAGUUUGUGUGAUCAUUAUGUUAUUUGUUGGAAGAUCUCUUUUACCAGUGGAAUAGAUGUGUUGCAAUUUGAAUUUGGGUCGCUUAAGAGAGUAGGCUUGACUGUUACGAGGGUGAAUGCGAGAUUUGCAGAAGAUUUGAAGUACUAGAUGGUCUGUGUUGCACGAACUUAUGAAUGAUUGAGUUUAAUAUCACUAUGGUAUUAUGGUAGUAAUAGAGUAUAUGCAUUAUGAGUUAUUGUGUGUUUUAAUCUAUGGCUUUGAGCCAAGUGGGGGGGUCUGCUAUUGAUUAGUUGAUUGCACGAUUUUGUGCUAUGUUAGUUCCAGUUUGAGGCAUACUGGUGAAUCAGUUAUGGCUUACGGAGGUUGAGACCGAGGAUGGCUCAAGUAAAGCAAAUUUUAAUAAAGGUUAUGUUAUGCUUUAUGGGUGUAUGAGAAUCAUGGAAUGACUUGAGUUGUUAUUAGUAAAGGAUGUACGGUGCAUAGAACAGGAAGUUGCUUGGUUGCGUUAAGGAGAGGUUACAUUAUGUGGUGUCAGAGUACUAAUGGAGCAUAGGUUGUUUGGUCUGUUUGAUCGGUCUAAUUGCGGUUUGAGUAGAGUGGGUGACUCUCAAGAAUGGUUCUAAUGGGUUCAAGAUUUUACAUGCAGUAAUUGGAUAUUUUUAGGUUGUAUAUUUGGCUGGAAACCGGGGUCUACAUUGGAGGGUGUCAAGACUUGCAGCAUUUCUAUAUCAAUUCUGGUAUUCUAUGUAUCAGUAUCAGGAAGGUGAAAGUAAUGUCUUUGGAUUCGCAGGAAGUCUCUUCAGGGUAGGUAAUUUGAAUGUGGUGCUUUUGGAAAUGUUUAAGAGAGUAUUCAGUGGCUUAUGAGCCUUAAAUGGUGUUGUUUUAAGUUUGGGUCUCGUGUGGUGAGUCUGGGUUGAGGAAUUGCGGCAUUAUGGCAAGGAGAAGUAUCAAUUUGAAGGUAAUUUAGAAGGAACUUGGAUAAAUAGGACAUUGGUAGUAGGUCGGAUCGGCAUGGUAAGGGUUAUGAUUAGUUCUUUAGGUGCUUAUGAGGUAAUGAGUUUCUACAGGUGUUUCGCGGCAAUGCUGUUAGGAUUUAGUGGCCUGCGUAGCUUGGUUGAGUUAGAAGGAUUCAGUCCUGACGGUUUAGUUUUGUGCAAAUGGAAUUCGGAGAGCUCUUGAUGGUUUCUACCAUGGUGAGAGAUUUAUAUUUGCUACAAGCGUGAGGAGCAUGAUAUGUAUAGCGAUUUUCUUAUAGAAGGGAUCAAUGGAAAGUUCUUAGCUAGUUGGGUACGUAGUUGCUUGUGGCUCGGAAGGGGUUAUGAAGUUCUUAUAUUUAUCAUAGGACGGUUGAAAUUUGCAUGUGUAAGGUCACAGUUCAGUUCUGAAAGGAAGGUUCAUAAAUUCUUAGAUAGCAUGGGCAGUUUCAGAUGAUUAGGCAAAUGAUAUUGCUAAAUGGUGUGGCCUGAUAAGGGCAUACGUUUCAGAAAGGGAAAUGUGAUUGAGUUAAUAAUAUAUCAUUGGUAUCGUGGCUCUCUCUUGGUGGAUCGACUACUGAUAUUCGGGUUUUCUUGGUGGCACAAAAGAAUUUUUGGAGUAUCUCGUGGAAUGAUUAGGUAUUAGAGGUAUGAUAUGUAUUCAGACGACGGAAUUUGGUUUGGAUAUGGCGAUUCGAGUGCUUUAUGGACUUGGAGACCAGGAGUUCUCAUAGACAAGUUAUGUUAUGGUUGUGGGUCACGCGUAUCAGCCUAGUGUGGUGACUAUUGUGGGUUUGGAAACCCGAGUGGAUCCUUUGUUGCUUGGUAUGUUAGAUUUUGGAUGUGAUAUUGGGUAUAGACUGGUUGUCUCGGUAUUAUGUUAUUCUGGGCUGUUGCGCUAGGGCAGCGGCAUUAGCUAUGCCAGGAAUGCCACAGAUUGGGUGGCGAGGUUCGAUGAAUUAUGUUUUCAGUAGGGUGGUUUCAUUUUUGAAGACCCAACAGAUGGCUGGGAAGGGUUGUCUUUCUUAUUUGGCCUUCGUGAGGGAUGUCAGUACAGAGACUCCUACCAUUGAUUCAGUUCCCGUGAUGAGGGAUUUUUCCGGAUGUAUUUCCUAUUGUCGGGCAUGUCGUCGGACAAGGUUGUUGAUUUCGGUAUUGAUUUGGUGUCGGGCACCGUAUUGUAUGGCAUCGGCGGAGUUAAAGGAGUUGAAGGAGCAGCUUCAGGAACUCGUCAAUAAGGGGUUCAUUAGUAGACCAAUAUGGAUGUGUGUUCUACAUCGAGUCGGCUUGGGUGACUUCGAGUUGUAUUGUUGAGGGAUAUGUUGAUUCGAUUGUUAUUGAGCUUGUUAGUGAUUUGGGGAGAUCUAUGAGUUACCUUUCCGUGUUGCGAGGUGUUAGGAUUUGUUGGUUAUAAGCACAUGUGGUGCGGUUUUAUUGAGGUCUCUCAAUGGAAUUUGAGCAGAAAGAGUAUUGGGUAUUGCUCGGCGGAUGGCGUAUCAGUUGUGUCCUUUCGGGUUUGUGUAAUGUUAUGUUAGUUACUUUUCCAUGGUUAUGAUGAUCUGCUUUGGUUCUAGACAUCAAAUUACGCAUGGUUGUCGAUUUCGAGCAUAGUGACUUAAGGUAUCUCAUGUGGAACGGUGUUUGGAUAGGGUCGCACAUUGCAGUGAAGUUAUAUGGAGGUAUGACCCUUCGGGUUAGAUUCGUCUGUUCUAUUUCUACGAUGUGUGACGGGUUCUCAGCAUUAUGUGUGGUGAUACUGGUGAGCUUGUGGUACAGAUCUCUCAUUAGAGUCAUUUUUCAUGGUUUGAGUAUGUUCGGAUCGUUGCUUAUUGGUGUGCGGAUUGUACGAGUUGUGGCUCUAGAUUGUAUAGAUGUGUCAUGUCACCAAAGUAGUUGUGUUGGAUUAGAUGAGAUCGUUGGGAUCUAGAAUGAAUACAAACAUAUUUGGUCUCAGCGUGUUGGAAGGAUAAUAUUGAUGUUCGGCUUAGAUAUUUGCUAUGGUCCUUGCCAAAGGAGAAGUGGCUUCACGGAUUGUUGAUCUGAGGAAUGGUUAUGACUUUCUAUGUGUUUCAUUUAUCAUUGGCAGUAUACGGAAGUGUUGGAAUGAGGCUAUAUUUGAUAAGAGGUUUAUUAUUGAUAUUCUGUUGUUCUGAGCAACUGCUGUGAACAGAAGUUAUCUCUACGAGAGUUAGAGUUAUGUGGUAUAUCAUGUAAUUGCAUCUCAGGUUGUUGGUAUGGCUUGUUACAGCUUGUUCGGGCUUAUUCAAAGUAUAGAUGUGAAAUUAUGAUCUUGUAGAUGAUUUCAGAAGUGGAAAUGUGGUUCUAAGGUUUAUAGGCUAGGUUGGAUUGUGAAAUUUCAGUUGCAUUGUGUUAUCGCACCUAUAUGAGAUAGAGUGACGUGGGAUCACCCCCGGGUAUGUGCAUGGUAAGGUUACACAGCGAUUUGAUGGUUUUCGGAACAACUUUGAACACGUUCGAGGAUGAACGUAUGUUUAAGUGGGGGAGGAUGUAACGACCCAACCAGUCAUUUUGAGCAGUUGCAUUUCGCUCGUCGGUUCUCGGGCAUGACUAGCCUUGUAUGAUGUAUUAUGACUUAUGUAAAUCGUCGGUUUUGAUUUUCAAGUGGAACAGAAAAGAUAUGGAAGAAUGGUUCUCAGCUUAAGGCUUAAAUUUGAUAGGUUUGACCAAGUCUUUCACUUAGAGUACUCAAUCUCGGAUUUGAAUUUUUAUGAUUGGAUUAGCUUCGUUGGGUGAUUUAGGACAUAGGAGCGUGUUCGGAACGUAAUUUGGAGGCACGUGGUAGAUUUAGGCUGAAUUGGCAAAAUUGGAAUUCUGGCGCUUUCCGGUUGGUAGUGGAAAUCUUGAUAUCGGGGUCGGAAUGGAAUUCCGGAAAUUUGACUAGGUCCAUAGUGUCAUUUGUGGCGUGUGAGCAAAAUUUCAGGUCAUUCGGAGUUAAAUUGAUAGGUUUCGGCAUCGUUUAUAAAAUUUGAAAGUUCGUAAGUUCUUAAGCUUGAAUCCGAAGUUGAUUUGGUAUUUUAGUGUUGUUUUGAGUGAUUUGAAGGCUUGACUAAGUUUUAAUGAUGUUAUGGGAGAUGUUGGUAUGUUUGGGUUGAGGUCCCGAGGGCCUCGGGUGUGUUUCGGGUGAGUUUUGAGCGAGUCCGGGCAUUACCGGACUUAGGCAUUGGUUCUGGUGCUUAAAUUUAUAGCGGGGUGGAAGUUUAACUGCUGGGGGUGGUGGUUUUGCCGCUGGGGCGGAAAAUGGUCCGCGGUCCGCGGUGAGGAAGAAUCUGCAGGUUCACUGGUCUAACUUCGGAAGCCUAUAUCUUUUGAUCUACAAGGAAUUUUGAGAUAAUUCAAAAAUAAAAGUUGUAUACCUUCGUGUCUAGUUUUCAGAAAGCUAAAGAUAUCACAAUUUGGACAUCUGUAGAGAAGGUUAUGGCCAAAAUACUAAAGCAUAUUACUGCAAUCAACAUUUUCCGUUGUAGCAGUGGAUUUAACGCGGUCAGCGGUGAUGGACCGCGGUCAGUGGUGGUUUUACCUCGGUCAGCAGUGAUGGGGAUCUGAAAGGUGCACUAUAAAUAUGAGAUUUGGGGUUUUAUUUUAUAUUUUGACCUACAAAGCUCGGGCUUUGGUGAUUUUUCGAGGGAGUUUCAAGAAAACCAUUGAGGUAAGUGAUUCUAACUCAAUUUUUGCUAAAAUACAUUAUUAUAACAUUGGAUUCAUCAUUUGAGUAGAGAUUUGGGAUAUAAAUUUGGGGGAAAUUGUGGAACUUCAUAAAAAGAAUUUUCUGGAUUUGAAAGCCGAUUCGAAUUCGGAAUUGAGUGAAACUAGUAUGGAUAGCCUCGUAAUUGAAUGGGUUGUCGAAUUUUAAAACUUUAGUCGGAUUUCGAGACGUGGGCCUGGGGGCGGGGUUUGAGCAAUUUCGGGAUUCUUGAGUUAAUUUGAUUACUUUUGCCUGGGCUUUGUUCCUUUAGCGUAUAUUGAUGACAAUAUACUGAUUUUUGUUAGAUUUGGAGCAUUUGGAGGCCAAUUCGAGAGGCAAAGGCAUCGCAGGCUAGAGUUUGGACCGGUAUGAGGUAAGUAAUGAUUGUAAAUAUUGUCCUGAGGGUAUGAAACCCUGGAUUUCACAUCGUUAUGCUACUUUGAGGUGACACACACGUUAGAUGAUGAGCGUGGGGUGAUGCACCGUUGGGGAUUGUGACCUUGUCCGUCUUGUAUGACUGUUAAGUCACGCAUUUGAUUAAAACUUGUUCGAUAUCAUUGUGUUUUGGAAAGCAUUAUCAUGUUUUGGGCUGAAUUCCAUAUUUGGGCCUCGUGCCAACUGUUUUGGACCCUUAAGGGAUUUUUACUACUAUUCCUUAUUGUUUUGACUUCAUAUCUAUACUCAGUCAUGUUGUAUUCUAUUGCUUCCAUAGCUCAGCCAUAUUUACUCCGUUUUGAUAUUUUUAAAUAAUAAUUUGGGCUGAGCAUCAUGUUUUACAGUUUCCUGAGUGGCUUGAGAGAUUUCUAACUGAGUGAGGCCGAGGGCCUGUGUUGUGAGGAUAUUAUGGGAUCGGGCUGCGCGCCGCAGUAGUGUGGUACUAAGUUAUGAUUAUGAGGCCGAGGGCCUAAUUUGUUACGCCACGAGGUAUCUUUAUAUAAGGCCAAGAUCCUAUUUGAUUAUGCCACGAGAUGGCUUAUUAUUGUGCUUGGGUCGUAAAGGGCCCCUCUUGGAGUCUGUACACCCCCAGUGAGCGCGGGUACCCGGUAUGAGUGAUAUGUUGUAGCCCGAGGGGUUGUUGUUGUUUCAUAUUGAAGCCCAAGGGACUAUUCUUGAUCCAUGUUUGCCCGAUGAGCAGUUCUUGAUUCAUGUUAUGCCCGAGGGGCUGAUUACGAGUGAUUGUGAGGUAGCCCGAGGGGCUGGUUCUGUUGAUAUUAUGCCCGAGAGGCAUUUCAUGGUACAUGUUUUGUCCGAGAGGAUGUUUAUGUUUUCCAUCAUUUUUACUCACUGUUUUAUCACUCAAUUGAAACUAUUGAAAGUUGUUUUAAAAGGUUUUACCGAAACUGAGCUUGAUUUACGAAGUAAAGGAGUUCUGUACUGUUUUGGAAAGGUAUUGCAUUUGUUGUAGCGUUAUGACGUGGCUUACGUGUUUUCUUACUGCUCAUCUUUCAUUUACUUUAAUUACUUACUGAGUUGGCGUACUCACAUUACUCCAUGCACCUUGUAUGCAGAUUCAAGUAUUUUUGAACCCGAUAGCGGUUGUUGAUUGCUCAGUGGCAGAGUCAUUUGAGUUAGCAAGGUUGCUGCCCGAUGUUCGCAACCCUGUUUUUCUCCUCUUGUAUCCCUUAGGUUGUUUUUAGUAUAUUUUCAGACCUUAGUAGAUACUCGUGACUUGAGACACUCCGAUGUCAGGCUUAUGUAUUUAUUCUACACUAUUCAUUUAGACUUACAUUAUGAGAUAUCUGAUUGAUUAAAGGCUUAAAAAUGAUUGUUAUUGAUUAAAUUGUUAAUUUGGGAGUUGUGUCGGCUGGCCUAGUUUCACGAUAGGCGCCAUCACGACCGGGUCAGUUUUAGGGUCGUGACAUAUUCGAAGUUAUGGUUGGGUCACAUGAAUUGCACACCCGAAUUGGGAGAUUACAUAUCGUGACUAUGCCACGGGAACCGUACCCAUAGUCAUGAUAAUUUAUUAAUCGCGCCUAAAGCAAGCUACGAUGUGCAUAAGUUGAUUUUUUUAUAGUAAAGACUAAAUUUAAUCUGAUUGUUGAUGAUGGCUAUUGAAAUCACACUAGUAAGAUCAUUGCAUGAUCAAUUCAUUGUUUGGAAGAGACAAAGUUAACAAUUGCCUAAGGCUUAACUAGAGUUCGACAUUCACAUUCCAAUUACCGAAUGUGGUUCAAGAUUUGCACCAGAAAAAUUAAGGUAAAAUCUUGAUCACAAUAGCAAUACAGGAUUUCACAUACAAUAACAUCUGUUAUUUUUACAAAGGGGACAAGAAUAGAAAUAUGAAUGCACUUAAACAGAAACAACAAAAGCCAAAGUUGCCAACUUUAACGAAAGACAAAUUGGGAUUGACAUUAGCGCUGAAAUAAUUAAAAAGACAAUGAGUUGUCAUACUGGUAGUAUCCCAAAGACCCAAAUUCACAAUCUUCUGAUCUUAAUAAGCAGACAUGGUUAUUUUCCUUAUAGAUUCUAAUAUUUUACCUCAAAUUUAGCACAUGAAACAAUACCUACUACACAUGAUUUCACUUUCAGAAAAAUGGAAACACACAUCUAUCUCAGAUGUUCAACAAUCAAACCAACUAGUUGCUGUUAGGUAAAUUUCCUUUAUCCUUUUAGAUGUGAACAAAAGGAGGAAAAAUUUAGAGUUAUAUGAAGGUAUUAUUUAAUUUAUUGUAUUGAUAAGGUCCUAUAUCACUUCAAUCAGCUGAACUAAAAUAAAAAUCGACAAAUCCAUACUGUGAACGAACAGAAAACAUCAAAGAACAAUUCCACCAUAUAUACACAAACAAAUUUCAGCAAAUUUAUAGUACAUGAAUGUCCGAAUAACCAUUACAUUUCGAGAUUGAGAUAAAUACCUCUAAACAGCAGUAGAGAUAAACUUGAAUAACCAAAUAAAGUCGAAGGAAAAGCUGGAGCUCAGCGAAAGUAGAAACAGCAAAACACAUCUUCAGCUUCUAAAAUCAAAAUCAAAACUCGAACACCCAAAAUUGGAGAGAUAAAGCAACGAAAAGCAGCAAAGCCUUUGAAACUCCCUGUUCCCCCGAUUUUCUUCUAGUUUUGAAACCUCUUUUAUUAUUUUCAGCUUUCAAAAUCUUUCAAAACUUCCAAUUUCUUUUUGUUUUAUUUGUUUGUUGAUAAAUGCUUUUGUUUGUGUGUGUGUAAUUUUUGUAUAUGCAGGGAAGUGAAAUGGAUGGUUGACUGAGAAGUCGAUGUACUAGGAGCUACGACUGGGGAUUUUUGUUUUUAGGGAGGGGUAGGCCUACACGUCAUUUCUGAUCAGAAAGAGAGAGGGGAAUCCAGGCGCUGGUCCUCUUUUUG